Molecule: long non-coding RNA, 906 nt
Filed under: Ficedula albicollis (Collared flycatcher)
Lineage: Eukaryota; Metazoa; Chordata; Aves; Passeriformes; Muscicapidae
Description: lncRNA (ENSFALG00000029074.1)
Source: RNAcentral
AGAGACUGUAACCCAGUGACUGUGGGUACCUUUCUUCUUGUGAAAGGAAUUAGCACUGAACAGAGUCUUUUUAUCAGAGCCAUGCUCUUAUCAGAGCAUCUCCCUUUAUAUUGCUUCCUUCCCCAGCCAUUGUGGAAACAGACAUCCUGCCCAAGGCAUCGAAAUCCACAAUCUGCUGCUUCUUCUAUGGAGCCUCUGGAUUUUUGCCAGCAGCCCCUUGAGGUGGUCCCAGAUGUGAUUGCUGGAAAUAUCCGGUAAAAACAAAGGGCUGCACUCACCCCAGUUAGCAGCACUUCCUCUGCUCUCAGGGAUGUGCAGUGGGAGAUCUAAGGCAUGAUACACCCAGAGAAGUCAUGGCUAAAAUGGCAGGGUCACACUCAAAGGGAUAUUCCUGCAAGAGAGUAAAGCCAAUCUUUUUAUUGCAUCUCUCAGCUGGUGCUCCAUUUACCUCCAGUUCACAUGAACUCAGGAGAUGUGCAUGGCAUGUCAUUCCCACAGAGUUCUUCUGCAGGGAAAAUGCUAAUUCCUUGCACCUAUGUUGUGUGUGAAAGGAGAUUAGGUUUGGAUACUGCUUUCCUCCCGUGGGGGGGGAAAAAAAAAAGGGUAAACAAUCCUAUUUUUAUUUCAAAGUAACUUGUGCUUAAAAUGGCCACUUGUCCCUUGGGUUUUGCAGUGCCUGCAGAUAACCCCAGGCAGCUUUCUGAGAUCCAGCUGUGGCUGUCCUUGGGGCCAUGUGGAUAUGUUGCAUCAUCUUUCUGGAUGUGCUUUACGAGAGCACAGCAAGAGGCCAGAUGUGUUUUGCAUGGAGGAGGGCUGAUCUGGAGAGUGAAAACAGCUUGCUGCUUGGAGGACUGUCCACAAAAGAACAAAGCCCUGAGGACACUUCCCUGCACUGUGCCCCACUAG